CUGGGCCUGGGAGAACUCUGUCUGCCCGAGAACGAGCCUGGUAGCAGCAUCAUGCCUGGGAAAGUUAACCCCACCCAGUGUGAGGCCAUGACCAUGGUAGCAGCCCAGGUGAUGGGAAACAACGUGGCUGUGACCAUCGGAGGCAGCAACGGACACUUUGAGCUUAACGUCUUCAAGCCAACGAUGAUUAAGAACGUGUUGAACUCAGCCAGGCUGCUGGGCGAUGCCUCGGUC
Molecule: long non-coding RNA, 234 nt
Organism: Oncorhynchus nerka (sockeye salmon)
Lineage: Eukaryota; Metazoa; Chordata; Actinopteri; Salmoniformes; Salmonidae
Exons: 3
Source: RefSeq, a predicted model, not a curated record